GACGAACGCUGGCGGCGUGCCUAAUACAUGCAAGUUGAGCGCUGAAGGUUGGUACUUGUACCAACUGGAUGAGCAGCGAACGGGUGAGUAACGCGUGGGGAAUCUGCCUUUGAGCGGGGGACAACAUUUGGAAACGAAUGCUAAUACCGCAUAAAAACUUUAAACACAAGUUUUAAGUUUGAAAGAUGCAAUUGCAUCACUCAAAGAUGAUCCCGCGUUGUAUUUGCUAGUUGGUGAGGUAAAGGCUCACCAAGGCGAUGAUACAUAGCCGACCUGAGAGGGUGAGCGGCCACAUUGGGACUGAGACACGGCCCAAACUCCUACGGGAGGCAGCAGUAGGGAAUCUUCGGCAAUGGACGAAAGUCUGACCGAGCAACGCCGCGUGAGUGAAGAAGGUUUUCGGAUCGUAAAACUCUGUUGGUAGAGAAGAACGUUGGUGAGAGUGGAAAGCUCAUCAAGUGACGGUAACUACCCAGAAAGGGACGGCUAACUACGUG
RNAcentral lists this ribosomal RNA (497 nucleotides) under uncultured bacterium. RNAcentral's name for it is "partial 16S ribosomal RNA". It matches the Rfam family "Bacterial small subunit ribosomal RNA", at positions 28 to 507 of the family's 1533-position model. The record is from RNAcentral.